This 389-nucleotide ribosomal RNA is filed under the name Lomentospora prolificans. RNAcentral describes it as "Scedosporium prolificans Eukaryotic small subunit ribosomal RNA". It matches the Rfam family "Eukaryotic small subunit ribosomal RNA", at positions 1288 to 1704 of the family's 1831-position model. Lineage: Eukaryota; Fungi; Ascomycota; Sordariomycetes; Microascales; Microascaceae. The record is from Rfam by way of RNAcentral.
CCGUUCUUAGUUGGUGGAGUGAUUUGUCUGCUUAAUUGCGAUAACGAACGAGCCUUUAACCUGCUAAAUAGCCCGUACUGCUUUGGCAGUUCGCCGGCUUCUUAGAGGGCCUAUCGGCUCAAGCCGAUGGAAGUUUGAGCAGCAAUAACAGGUCUGUGAUGCCCUUAGAUGGGCACCACACGCGUUACACUGACAGAGCCAGCGAGUAUUUCCUUGACCGGAAGGUCCGGGUAAUCUUGUUAAACUCUGUCGUGCUGGGGAUAGAGCAUUGCAAUUAUUGCUCUUCAACGAGGAAUCCCUAGUAAGCGCAAGUCAUCAGCUUGCGUUGAUUACGUCCCUGCCCUUUGUACACACCGCCCGUCGCUACUACCGAUUGAAUGGCUCAGUGA